AGGGAAAUCUUGGGUUUGAGGAAGAAGAGAGGGAGACCUUUGGUUCGGCGGAAGGAAGAAGGUGGAGAGUUGGGUCGGUUCAAGGAGAAUUUUCAACAAAAAGAGAGUGCCUGAAGGAUUUUAUCAUAAUUACAAGUUUAUCCUAGGGUCGACCCUAGGGGUCGACUCAUGGCACAGAGAAAUUCAGAAAAAUGAUGAAAUAAUUUCGAAAAAAUUUGAAACAUUAGGAGAAAGAUGUUUACCCAAAAAAAAAUUGAUCAUGUGAAUGAUAAUUUUGAGCUUUUGAGCUCUUAAGAAAAGAUGAGAAUUGAGCUAAAUAAAUUUUUGGCAUUGAUACCUUGGA
Molecule: long non-coding RNA, 343 nt
Filed under: Elaeis guineensis (African oil palm)
Lineage: Eukaryota; Viridiplantae; Streptophyta; Magnoliopsida; Arecales; Arecaceae
Description: long non-coding RNA (EGUI_LNC071460)
Source: RNAcentral